UACGUAGGGGGCAAGCGUUGUCCGGAAUCAUUGGGCGUAAAGAGCGUGUAGGCGGUUCGAUAAGUCUGCUGUGAAAGUCCAGGGCUCAACCCUGGAAAGCCGGUGGAUACUGUCGGACUAGAGUGCGGAAGAGGCGAGUGGAAUUCCCGGUGUAGCGGUGAAAUGCGCAGAUAUCGGGAGGAACACCAAUUGCGAAGGCAGCUCGCUGGGACGUUACUGACGCUGAGACGCGAAGGCGUGGGUAGCAAACGGG
This 253-nucleotide ribosomal RNA is filed under the name uncultured bacterium. RNAcentral's name for it is "partial 16S ribosomal RNA". It matches the Rfam family "Bacterial small subunit ribosomal RNA", at positions 524 to 776 of the family's 1533-position model. The record is from RNAcentral.